Molecule: ribosomal RNA, 759 nt
Filed under: uncultured bacterium
Lineage: Bacteria
Description: bacterial SSU rRNA
Rfam family: Bacterial small subunit ribosomal RNA
Source: RNAcentral
CCAGGUGUAGCGUGAAUGCGUAGAUAUCUGGAGGAACACCAGUGCGAAAGCGCCUGCUGGGCCCAUAACUGACGNUGAGGAACGAAAGCCAGGGGAGCGAAAGGGAUUAGAUACCCCUGUAGUCCUGGCCGUAAACGAUGGAUACUAGGUGUUGGUGGUAUCGACCCCUCCAGUGCCGUAGCUAACGCGAUAAGUAUCCCGCCUGGGGAGUACGCCCGCAAGGGUGAAACUCAAAGGAAUUGACGGGGGCCCGCACAAGCGGUGGAACAUGUGGUUUAAUUCGAUGCAACGCGAAGAACCUUACCUGGGCUUGACAUCUACGGAACCCCCUUGAAAGAGGGGGGUGCCGCAAGGAGCCGUAAGACAGGUGGUGUACGGUUGUCGUCAGCUCGUGUCGUGAGAUGUUGGGUUAAGUCCCGCGACGAGCGCAACCCUCGUGGUCUGUUGUUACAGGUCGAAAGAUGCUGAACCCUCAGGCCAGACUGCCGGUGACAAACCGGAGGAAGGUGGGGAUGACGUCAAAUCAUCACGCCCCUUAUGUCCAGGGCUACACACGUGUUACAAUGGGACGGGACAACGGGCAGCUUGGCAGCGAUGUCUGGCAAAUCCCUUAAACCCGCCCUCAGUUCGGAUCGGAGUCUGCAACUCGACUCCGUGAAGUCGGAAUCGCUAGUAAACGCAGAUCAGCACGCUGCGUUGAAUACGUUCCCGGGCCUUGUACACACCGCCCGUCACACCACGGAAAUGGACCACGCCCAA